GAACCCAGAGGCCAUGAGAGCAGUUCAUUGCAACCUUGAAUCGUGUUGCUGAAUGGAUAAAAGACAAUUCGUGAAAUAUUUCAAAGGAGAAAGAAUAGCUAUUCAUCUAGGCUCUCAGUCAGGUGCUAGUGCCAGCACAGAGAAAGGGAGGGAUAUUUUGCCUCAUUUGCCCAGAACUUAGAUUUGAACCAUGUCUAGUGUAAUAGGGGAACAUAUACCAAAUGAUUUAUAGAAAUUUGUUAUAAAUUUAGUCAAUAUUUUGGCACUCUUAUAAUAAACCAUAUUGAUGAGCUUCUUAUAGUUUCAAAAUUUCUUCUCUUUCCAAGGGUAAUUAAAACUGAAGGUAUCAUAUUUUAUACUACUGAGGCAGAACUGCUUCAACAGAGCUUUGAUAACCUGUUUGAAGAGCUCAGAUCUACAGAUGCUAUCUAGAUGGUUAGCAUAAUUUGUUUUUUGAUAACUGGGGAAAAAAAUUUAG
RNAcentral lists this long non-coding RNA (478 nucleotides) under Bos taurus (domestic cattle). Its description in RNAcentral is "long non-coding RNA NONBTAT013633". Lineage: Eukaryota; Metazoa; Chordata; Mammalia; Artiodactyla; Bovidae. The record is from RNAcentral.